RNAcentral lists this ribosomal RNA (365 nucleotides) under uncultured bacterium. RNAcentral describes it as "bacterial SSU rRNA". It matches the Rfam family "Bacterial small subunit ribosomal RNA", at positions 32 to 373 of the family's 1533-position model. The record is from RNAcentral.
AAUCAACGCUGGCGGCGUGCCUAACACAUGCAAGUCGAGCGGGAAAGGGGCUUCGGCUCCUGAGUAUAGCGGCAGACGGGUGAGUAACACGUGGGUAAUUUGCCCUUGGGUGUGGAAUAACUCAGGGAAACUUGAGCUAAUACCGCAUGACAUCCUCUUCGCACACGAGUCGAGGGAUCAAAGCCGGGGACCCUUCGGGGCCUGGCGCCUGAGGAGAAGCCCGCGCCCGAUUAGCUAGUUGGUGAGGUAAUGGCUCACCAAGGCUUCGAUCGGUAGCCGGCCUGAGAGGGCGGACGGCCACACUGGGGACUGAGACACGGGCCCAGACUCCUACGGGAGGCAGCAGUGGGGAAUUUUUGUCAAGU